RNAcentral lists this transfer RNA (70 nucleotides) under Phycis blennoides. Its description in RNAcentral is "tRNA-Trp". It matches the Rfam family "tRNA". Rfam says of the family: Transfer RNA (tRNA) molecules are approximately 80 nucleotides in length. Their secondary structure includes four short double-helical elements and three loops (D, anti-codon, and T loops). Lineage: Eukaryota; Metazoa; Chordata; Actinopteri; Gadiformes; Phycidae. The record is from RNAcentral.
AGAGGCUUAGGAUAAAUUAGACCAAGGGCCUUCAAAGCCCUCAGUGAGGGUGAAAAUCCCCCAGCCCCUG